This 516-nucleotide ribosomal RNA is filed under the name uncultured Methanocorpusculum sp. RNAcentral's name for it is "bacterial SSU rRNA". It matches the Rfam family "Archaeal small subunit ribosomal RNA", at positions 382 to 903 of the family's 1478-position model. Lineage: Archaea; Methanobacteriati; Methanobacteriota; Methanomicrobia; Methanomicrobiales; Methanocorpusculaceae. The record is from RNAcentral.
CUGAUGCCUGUAGAUGCAGGCUGUUUAUCUGUUUAAAUUGAAGGUGAAGAAAGGGCAAGGCAAGACCGGUGCCCGCCGCCGCGGUAAUACCGGCUGCUCGAGUGAUGGCCACUAUUACUGGGUUUAAGGCGUCCGUAGCUUGACUGAUAGUCUCUUGGGAAAUUUUAACGCUUAACGUUAAGGAGUCUAAGAGAUACCGUCAGUCUUGGAACUGGGAGAGGUAAACCGUACUUCCCGGGUAGGAGUGAAAUCUUGUAAUCCUCGAGGGACGACCUAUGGCGAAGGCAGUUUACCUGAACAGCUUCGACAGUGAGGGACGAAAGCUGGGGGAGCAAACGGGAUUAGAUACCCCGGUAGUCCCAGCCGUAAACAAUGUGCGUUAGGUGUAUCGGUGACCACGCGUUACUGAUGCGCCGCAGAGAAAUCGUGAAACGCACCACCUGGGAAGUACGGUCGCAAGGCUGAAACUUAAAGGAAUUGGCGGGGGAGCACCACAACAGGUGGAGCCUGCGGUUU